CCAAGAUCCUGUCGCGUUCGCACUCCUUCGCAUUCGGUUGCUCUAGCUACCGAAUCGAACCAGCGCGAGCGCUACCUAAUUAACUCAUCGGUCGAUUGAUUUUCCAUCAAAUACUUCCAUCUUCUACACCACUAUCGUUUCUUCUUCUCCACCAAAUAAAUGACCUAAUUAACUCAUUGGUCGAUUGAUUUUCCAUCAAAUAUCUCCAUCUUCUACACCGCUGUCGUUUCUUCUUCUCCACCAAAUAAAUGGAGGAGUAAUAGAUGGGAUUCUUCCCACGACGCGAUUCUCUGAUGAACUCUCGGACAGUGUUCCCGUUCUCGAUGUGGUGCAUGCCUCUGCGAUCCCCUAGUCCUCCUCUUGCUUUGGUGUCUCUGUUCUGGCCACGGUGGCUCGAGCCAGUUCCACUGGAAUUUGACUGGCGUUGACAUGCGGAGCUGGUCCGGGUAUGGCUUCCUUUCCGGUUUGGAAAGAUGGUGCGGUGGCGACUCGGGCUCAGCCAUAUGGACUGGACGCGACUGCUGCCCAUCCCGACUGCGCGCCAUCCUCAUCCAGAGUACAACUCCUCCCGCGGGUGCGACCCCGGCUGAUUCAGCCAUGAGAAGUUCUUCCCUUUUCUGUUGCUGGUGGAUUUGCUGCCAACGACUAUAGUGACGCCAUCUGUUAGCUUUAAGGUAUUUAAAGUAUUUCAUAUCUAAAAAUCAGUAAGUAUGUUGGCGAACACCCGUUUGAGGCUACAGGUUAGUGUGAUAUUAUGUAAUUCAACCUAUCUGAAUUCUAUUACAGUAUAUGUUGUUAGUUAUUAUGCAUAGAUGUCAAUUAAAUUAAACUGGAAGAAGAUGAUGUAUAAUCCAACUGAUCGGAAGGAUGAGCUAAUUGCACAUCAACUCAAUCCGCUCAUCAACUGAAUUUGUGUUUUCCAAUUGCAGUUUUGUCAUCUACACGAACCGCAACAGCCGAUCAAAGCUCAACCUCUCUCCCUUAAAAAAAGGUUCAAUUGUGAUAGUUCGCAGCCGUUGAAAUUCGAAGUCAGGUUGCUGCCACCGUGGAGUCAUCGAUGCCUAUGCAGAGAGUUUAACUGCCUCGCCUGCCAGGCUUUGCAUACUAUUCGUGCUGUUCUUGACUAUGAAUGGAAUGCUAUGGAUCCUGCCUGCUCUAUUAUUAGGAUGGUUCAUCUAUAAGCUUUUUCUUUCUCUAGAUAUAAUUUUCAUGGUGGAAUUUUUUCUUGCUAGAUAUGCUUAUCUGUAGUUCGCUAUGUGAUGUGCCCUUUGAGUAGGUUCGGUAAGACAGGUUGCUAAUUAUUAAAAGCUAGAAAUUCUCCUCUCCACCAUUUGUCCCCAUAUGCAGCCUUGCCCAAAGAUGUAUUAAUCAACAUAUGGUAUGCCAACCCAAAUUCCUUGUGCGGGUGUGUCUCUGUAAGUGUACAUCAUAUUAUAUAUGUCCUUAUAUGUGCCUACUUUUGAACCCAUAGAUUUUUCUCCUAUAAGCAUGUGAAUGGUAAAACGCUCCUGCGUGCACCACCUAUUGCCUCAUCAUCAUGGCUUAAGCCUGCACGCGUGUUGGUAACUUUGACGAGGUGGCUAACUGAUCAUGAUCAAUAGAAUUCUGAGUUAGAGCGUUCAUGUAUCCAUGAUUUGGUUUACUAUUUUUAUUGGUUUAUUAGUUCUCUACAUUUUUUAAGACAUGGAAUCUUUUUUCAGAGGAAUCCAAUACUGCAUGGAAAAUCAGAUGUUGCAAUAUUCAAUGCAGAUUCAGCGGCAAAUUCAUACCUAAGUGAACACAAAGAUCUCAUUUUCCUAUUGUGUCAUGCUGAUUGGCAGGAGUGAGCCGGCGUACAUGGACGACAUUGUUGUCAACUCGGCUAGGGGAUCCAAUCUCCUGGAUGACCUCAUUGAGAUGUUUACUAACUUGAGGAUGUACAAGAUCAAGCUAAACUUGAACAAGUGCGUGUUCGGAGUGCCCCACAAUAAUAUUACUUGGUUGUCUUGAGUCCGCACAAGGGAUGGAGGAAAACCCGUAGAACACCAAUGCAAACGUCAAUAUGUCCCAAUGAAAGUAUCCAAGGGAUGUCAGAGACUGAUCGGGUGCCUUGUUGUACUCAGUUGCUUUAUAUCCAAACUUAGUGAGAAGGUCUUGUGUCUUUACCGAUGGAUGGAAAAAAAUCUAAUAAUUUCAAGUGGACAACGGAAGUCCAGUCGGCUUUUGAUGACCUGAAGCAGCUGCUUUCCAUGCGGCCAGUAC
Long non-coding RNA from Triticum aestivum (bread wheat), 2241 nucleotides. RefSeq lists it as uncharacterized. The record is from RefSeq and is a predicted model, not a curated record. The transcript is spliced from 3 exons. Lineage: Eukaryota; Viridiplantae; Streptophyta; Magnoliopsida; Poales; Poaceae.